Molecule: long non-coding RNA, 1248 nt
Organism: Gallus gallus (chicken)
Lineage: Eukaryota; Metazoa; Chordata; Aves; Galliformes; Phasianidae
Exons: 3
Source: RefSeq, a predicted model, not a curated record
CUGCGCACAGCGCGGCACGAGGGGGGGAGGUGGGCUUUAAGGGCAUGUGGGGUUUUAACGGCACGUGGGGCAGCAGCGCCGGUCCUGUUUGACUCAGAGGCCACCGCACCCGACAGAGCACCUGGAAAUUCAUUUGUCACCGGAGGAGAAAGGAAGGAAGCAAGUGAGGUUCCUGCUUUGCACCCAUGAGAAACAAAUCGCACCCAGGAAGGCAUCCCCUCGUUGGGCCGCUUCUGCAGGUGCUGCCAAAGCCUUUCAGCUCAGCCUGAGCUCCCACAGCCCCACCUGAGGACUCAGUGGCCAACCCUGCAUUACCACAGCUGGAUGUCCGAUGGAAAAAUCCCGGCAUUCAUCUGCCUCACCACGUGUGUGAGGCUGAAUUCAUCAGCAGUUUCCAUUGAGGAGGGGUUUCCUCUUUCUCAUGGGAUCCAAUGGGGCUCAAAUGUCCACCUGGGCUUCCAGCCUUGGCCAGGAGGUGUGAAUCGCCGAUGGGUUCACCGCGGGGAUCCCCGUGCGUGGCAGUGGCUGAGGUCUGGGCUGGGGAUGUGGACAACUGUGCUUCAGCAGAGGGCGGCCAAUGGCUCUGCAGUGCUGCUCCUGCUGUGCUCAGCGUCUGCUGCCCAUUCCCCUUUGGCUGGAGGGGAGCAGAGCCCUGGAGCUGAGCAUACAGGCACCUCCGCGUGCCUCGGUCCGCAUAGCACGACCCAGAGGUGCAUCUUUGGGGUGCUUAGAAGAGGUUGCUGCAGGAAAACCCCUGUAAGAACCACUGAAGCCGCUGCCCGGGGGGACAGAUAAAGGCCCCUGGAAAGGCAGAGGGGUGAGAUGGGGGCAGGGGGGCUGCCGGAGGGCGUGCGGAGAGGAGAGCCUGAAGUGCUGUCCGCACCUCCGCUGCAGGGCGCUGUGCCGCACCGCCUCGAGCGCUGCUUUGGGAUAAACGGGCAGGUUUGGUCUCGUGGGGAGGGGCUGAGAUGGUACACAUUCCUCACAUCCUCGGUGAUGUAAAACCCAGCACGGGGGGCUGUGGGCUGAGCAGCAGCCACAGUAAACCCGCAUCUACGUGAAAGACCCAAACGUGGCGCAUUUUGGUGUUAUUUAACCGAGAUUUUUGCAUCUUGGGGGAGGAGGGAAUGGGGAGUGAGCGGCAGCCGGGGUGCUGCUUCUGUUCAGAAACCUUCCAAGCGCUGUAAGGAGAAUUUAUAGUUCAGUGCUGUGGGGGGAAAUGCAUUAUUCAUUUUUCUGACUUUGGAA